Long non-coding RNA from Daphnia carinata, 1779 nucleotides. RefSeq lists it as uncharacterized. Lineage: Eukaryota; Metazoa; Arthropoda; Branchiopoda; Diplostraca; Daphniidae. The transcript has 4 exons. The record is from RefSeq and is a predicted model, not a curated record.
CUGCCUUUUGACGAAUGGUUUGGCGAGUGACUGACUGCAAUUUCGAAUCAUGUCAUCACCUUCAGCUGCUAUUGUUGAUCAUACGCAUGAGAAAAUUUACCGCCAUCAAGGACCAAUUUACCCUGCUUAUCUUAUCAGAGGAGAAAAGCCCGCAUUAAAACCGUAACUGCGGUCAUAGGAAUAAUGGAAAACCAACCCACCCUGGUUGAAGCAGAUGCUAUUCAUCACAGAUUGUCUAAUCAAGUGAAUUCAGUUAUACAUCUGCCAUACAGGUGCUAUGAUUGCUACCAAUCAUUCUUUAGUUUGGAGCAACUGGCUCAGCAUUCCCUUGAAAAGCCACUACACAGUGAAGAAAUCUGUUUGAAGUGUGAAACUUCUAUAAUUGUUUUUUUUAAACCUAUACAACCAGUGAGACUUCACUCUUGUAUCAAAUCUAGUAUGUGUCACACUUUACCUGACCUUAAUUUCCACAGUCAGUUUCUGUUUUCUAAGCUACAUUCCUCCUGUGAAAUUCCCGAUUGUACUGUCAUUGGAUGUGAUAUUCAAAGCUGUACAGCAAGUUUUGACUUUACAGUCAGUGGGAUCUUUAAGUAUUUAAAACAUGCCAGCAAAUAUAGGCAUACAACUGUACCCUGUUGCAAAAAAUGUUUGUUAACAGAAUUUCAAGUGACUGUUGGAGGAAAGAGAAUUAUUUCCCAUUACUGCACCAAAAUUGGAAAAGUCAUUUGUAUUGUUAAAACUUGAUAUUCGCGUUUUGAUUAUUCAGAACUACGAUCAUUUAUUUCUCACUUGUAACCGUGAAAUUUCUAUUUAUACGAACCUGCAUGACCCACCCCCUUCCGCAACAUUGGUUACACUCAUCUCGUUUUAUUGCAAUGUUUGGCAACAACGUCUUGUUGUUGAGGAAAUUCUUGCUUGUUUAUCAACAUAACAGGGGUAUACGGAAAAAGAAAAUCAGAUACAGUCGGUAUUGACCCCAUUUCAUGUAUGGCGCGUUGAAUAAUACAUUUGUACCGUUGACCUGUGAUUUGACUAAGCCCAGCUGUGUUCAGCUUUCUAAGAAUUUCUUCCUGUCGUCAAUACGACUCGGAAGGAUACAGCAUAGAUGGAGGAGUAUCCACUAGGAAUUGAAGAAACAGAUGCAGUUCAUCAUCGUUUGGCUGGAGAAUCCCCAGCUGUGGAAAAAAAUUUUCAAUGCUAUGAUUGCAGCCAGUCAUUUCAUUCACUGGUAGACCUUGGGAAUCAUUCCCACAGCUACGCUUGGCAUAGUGUGGAGAUUUGCCUCAAAUGCUCUGAUCCCAUCACAGUGUUUAUUCAAAAAUUUCCUUUAAAGGUCAUACAUCUUCACACCUGCAAGAAGUCACUUCUUCGCUAUCAAAACUCAGAUCUGCAUCUUCUUUCUAUUCAAAUUUUCCAGAUUCUUUGCUGGACUGAUAAACCACAGCACCAAUCUGUGAUUUAUUGUGAUGUUUGUGAUGUGUUUUUUCCUCAAACAUCAUUCGGACUGUUUGAUUUUUUAAAUCAUUCUAACUUGACAACCCAUAAUCUGGUACCCUCAAGUAAUUGUCAGAAUUGUGCAAUGCCAGAAGUCACAUUGAUGGGUAGCAACCUAGAGUGUUGUAUUAUUCAUUUUUGCACCAAAGAUUGCAAGUCAGUUCUUAAAGAAGUAAAAAAACAUAUUUAAAUUGGUGGAAGAGCACAGCCGAAUUAAGAGGUCUAUUCCAUAUAUUUUAUCAUAUUAUGUUUGAAUAAUUUCUAAUACACAUAUAUUUAAUUGUU